UACGGAGGGUGCAAGCGUUGUCCGGAUUUAUUGGGUUUAAAGGGUGCGUAGGUGGGUAGAUAAGUCUGGUUUGAAAGUUGGUCGCUUAACGAUCAAGGGUGGCUGGAUACUGUUUAUCUUGAAUGUUGUGGAGGUAGCCGGAAUGGGUUGUGUAGCGGUGAAAUGCAUAGAGAUGACCCGGAACACCAAUUGCGAAGGCAGGCUACUACGCAAUGAUUGACACUGAGGCACGAGAGCAUGGGGAGCAAACAGG
RNAcentral lists this ribosomal RNA (253 nucleotides) under uncultured bacterium. RNAcentral's name for it is "partial 16S ribosomal RNA". It matches the Rfam family "Bacterial small subunit ribosomal RNA", at positions 524 to 776 of the family's 1533-position model. The record is from RNAcentral.